This is a long non-coding RNA of Lucilia cuprina (Australian sheep blowfly), 1247 nucleotides long. RefSeq lists it as uncharacterized. Lineage: Eukaryota; Metazoa; Arthropoda; Insecta; Diptera; Calliphoridae. The record is from RefSeq and is a predicted model, not a curated record. The transcript has 2 exons.
AGUAGUAGUGGCAGAGAAACGGUAACUCCUCUUUAAGCACCUUUGUAAAUUUUUUCAUUCAUUUUCUACACGUCGAAGCGACGUCGUCGUCUCGUUUGUCUUUUUUUUUAAUUGUGUGUGUGUUUUUGAGUGUGAAAAAAUGUUGUAGAAAAGAUUAUAAUAUUUUUUUCGAGACACAAAAAGAAGAAUGAAGGGAAAAAAUUUGUUUAAAUAAGAAAAUAUUUUGUAAAAAAAGUGAUGUUUUUUUAUACAAAUGGCAAAUAGUUUUUGAUAAAAUCUUAAAGUUAAAAAAAUAGAUAAAUUUAAACAAUUUAAAGAGAAAAUGUUGUGAUUUGUAAUAAGAAAAGUGGAAAUUUUCUUGCUAAAGUAGGCCAAAUCAAAAAAGCAGAAAUAAAAAAAAAACACACACAAGGAGAACAAGAAAUUACACAAAAUACAAAAAUAAAAAACCAACGAAAUAACAGCAAAAAGCAGAGCACAAGUUAUAAUAAAAUAUAUAAAAUAAAUUUAUAAAGAAAUAAAAUAAUAUAAAAAAAAUUGAAAAUGUACUUGAAGAGGAAGCAGUGAGAAAAGCAAAAUGUAAAAAAAAAAAUCAUUUUUGAAGAAUAUUUUGUGUAUAUUUUUACAAAACACACACACACACUACUUACACAUAAAAAGAAAAGCAGCAACUAAAAAACAUCAACAACAACUGCAAUAAGCAGUCAAUGUUAAAUAAAAAGUGUGUUGUAAUAAUAAUAUAAUAGUUUUUAUAUAAAAAAGUGAAAUAAUUUAAAAAAAGUUAAGAUAUAAGAAUUUUAAUAAUUUAAAGAAAGCUGAAAGAAAAAGAUUUUACAGCAAAAAAUAACAAGCAAGCAAGCAGCAAACAACAGCAACAACAUUAUUAAAUCUAAAAAAAACAAGUUGAGUAAAAGCCACAUACUCACACAUACUCUCACUAAAAACAUACAAAAAUUAACUACGUUUAUUUUUUUUGCUUCUCUGUUACCUUCCCCACUACCUUUACGUGAAAUAGCAACAACAACUACAACUACUUAUUUAAACGGUAGAAAUAUAAAUGUUAUAAAAAAUAGAGAGAGAAACAAAAAAACCCCGCUAAAAAAACCUCAAAAAAAAAAAAACAUUAACAAAAGAAAGUGGUGAAACUUCUUGGGUAACUUAUUACUAAAACAACAACAACAACAUUUAUAAAAAUGUCUAACAAACAAGUUGUUUAACAACAAAAACAACAACAUUAUAAAAAUAUU